Molecule: long non-coding RNA, 2817 nt
Organism: Oncorhynchus nerka (sockeye salmon)
Lineage: Eukaryota; Metazoa; Chordata; Actinopteri; Salmoniformes; Salmonidae
Exons: 3
Source: RefSeq, a predicted model, not a curated record
CUGAUAGAUAUAGUUUUAUUAACCCUUUCAUGCGUGAGUUCCAAAUAUCUCUAACGGUCGCCCCAGCGUGAGUUUUUUUAUGCACGUGAUGUUAGAAUGUUCUCUCCAUUCCAGAAUGUGAUUGAUACGUAACAGUACAUUUUAUCCGCGCUGCCCUCAAACUAAAGCACGCAGCCUGUUUAUAUUUAUAAGUUGUUUUAACUUCAAUUUAAAAUGAUUUUCAAACAAGUUUUUAUUUUCUAAAAACAGUUUGAAUUUAGGUGUGUUCCGCCUCCUCAUUCAUUCACAUAAAAAUAGUCAUUUUUACUUUUGCGGAUAAUUACAUUUUUGGGACAUUUCUGACAGGGACAAAAUUCCCCAAGCACUUCCCAAUUGUUUGUGCAGUUCACGUCUGCAGACAUUUGCUCAUCUCCCGUCAGAACAGGAUCUGCACACGUGUUCACAUUUUCUAUUCCACAUUUCUAUUGUAGCGUACUGUAUGUAUAGAGCAUAAUAUAUUUGUGUAUAUUCUUUAUCACCGCGGAAACGUGAGGUAACGUUACUCAUUUUAUAACCUUUAUGAUGUUAUAGUCAAUCGUGCUUAUGUAGCCACAUUCUUCUAUUAGCUCUGUAAAACAAUGCUAAAUGCGUCAGAGAAGUAUUAUCUUGUGUUGCAUUUUGAAGCUACCAUGGCCUUAUGACUCUCAAGUGGUGCAGCGGUCAAAGGCACAGCACAUCAGUACUAGAGGUGUCACUACAGACUCCCUGGUUCAAAUCCAGGCUGCGUUUCCAUCAAAAAACAUUAUUUGCCAAUAUCAUAACUGAAGCUGGACAUCUUUGGAGCAUAAGAAUGAGGACAGCUUUUGUAUGCUAACGUACACUCCUUAACAGUUGUACUGGAUGAAAACACAGCAAGAAAACGCAUGCCAAUAUGUAAUAUUCAUCUAUUUUAUUGCAGUACUGGUAGUUAUUUCAACAACUUGUUUUACUAGAGGACAAAAAACUGAAUAUGCGUAACCCAUAUUUAAUAUCCAUGCAGUGACUGAACAACAACUGCAUUUCCACCCCAUCUCUAAGGCAUAGUAUCAUGGCUGGUCACCUGUCAAGUCACAUGUCAGGUCAGUCAGUCACCUAUUGCUGCAGAUGUGCUCAAUAAUGCUUGAGUAUGUGAUACUCCUCAAAGCAUGGUGAAAUACAUAGAGGUGUAUCACAAGCUAGACACAUGUAUUUUGUCAUCUUCCUCUGCUUACUUCUCCUGGCGCCAGACAGGCAGACUUUGCAAUGCCUCCGUGUGCGACUACCUUGAGAAGCAGUUUGAGGGACUUUGCAGGGAAAAUGUCGUGCAGUGAGGCGUAGGGGAUUGUCUACAGCAGGACGACCCCCAGUGGAUGGGCGCCGAGGGGUGUGGUGCUCCUCCAGCAGCUCUCUCAUGAGGUUCUCUCUGUAUUUUUGGUGGUCCACCUUCCCUGUGGCCGACAUGGUUGCUGUAUGGACAGUGGAGAGGACAUGGACGUCUCGCUUGUCAUGCCACUUUACUGCCAGCUGUUGACCGUUCUCUUGGAACUCCACCUCCCUCUCUGCAUCUUCCUGCAUCCGAAUGCCGGCAUCCCCUUCCUGUUCGACCUGACUGUGCCACAUGCCCCUGUGCUGUUGGAGAGCAGAUGCUGGAAGAGUGUGGGACUGCUGUACCAAUUGUCCACGUACAAAGUGUGUCCCUUGCCGAGAUGAGGAGCCAGCAUGGUCAUCACCACGGACCCUGACACCCCAAGCCCAUCAUAAUGUUUGAUGUCAGUGGUGGACCCUGUGUAAACUAUAAUAUCCUGGACAAAUCCUGUCUUCACGUCGCACAUGACAAAGAACUUGACUCCAAACCUGUGCCUUUUGGAGGGAAUAUAUUGACGGAACGCCAGCCUACCUUUCCAUAACAUCAGGGACUCAUCAAUGCAUAGGUCCUUGUAUGGCACAAAGACCGACCAAAUGCUGAUGUCAGGCUGAUAAGAACAUUUCUUAUUUUGUAUAACGGGUCACUUAGGAUGGCAGUAGCAUUGUUGACAAAAUGCAGGCAUCGCAGAAGAACUAGGAAGCGAUCUUGGGAAAAGAGGGAGGCAAAGAAGGGAGUUGCAAACAUAGGAUCUGUGCUCCAGUAUUCUCUUAGGGAGUUCUUCUUUACUAUUCCCAUGAGAAGGACUGUCACCAGGAAGGUAUACAUUUCACUAAUUGUGGUUGUCACCCAUUUAGCGAGUUUCCCCCUCACUCCUGGCUCUCUCUUCUCCUGUAGCUCUAAGGCAUAGCGAUUGGUCUCCUCAACUAUCUCUCCCACCAGCUCCUCUGUGAGAAACAACUUGAAGCACUCUGCCUCAGUUGGAAAUGGCAAGGGGCGUUGCACUCCAGACUGGGACUCGUCAAAGCAGACAGCAGGGCCAGGUGGGGUGAAAUGACUGGUGGCCUUCCAGCUACCACAGAACUCCUGUACUUCAUCCACUGUCGGCCUGCCUCCAUCACCACCAGCAUCUUCAAAGGGACCUGGUACUUCCUCAGUUGACAAGGGAAAUUUAGAUUCAGGGUUCUCAAUGGCUACAAGGUUGAGGGGCAGCUCCUCACUGUCACUGUCAGAAUCUGAUUCCUGACUUUCAUACUCAGACUCAUUGUCAGAAUUUAAAAAAUCUCCAGAAUUUCCACAUUUGUGAGUUGUCUCCUUUUGAAAGACAUUGUUAAAUGCUACAGUUUAGCUCACUAGCUACAUACAUAAACAACAACACUGAAUGGCGCAGAGUGGGAGGUUACGUGGUUGACUGCCGGCACGCGCCACUUGUAUCAAUAAAUCACUAUCAGAAAAUG